GCCUGGGUGGCUCAGUCGGUUGAGCGUCCGACUUCGGCUCAGGUCAUGAUCUCACAGUUCGUGGGUUCGAGCCCCGCAUCAGGCU
Felis catus (domestic cat) is the source of this 85-nucleotide transfer RNA. It matches the Rfam family "tRNA". From Rfam's summary of the family: Transfer RNA (tRNA) molecules are approximately 80 nucleotides in length. Their secondary structure includes four short double-helical elements and three loops (D, anti-codon, and T loops). The record is from Rfam. Lineage: Eukaryota; Metazoa; Chordata; Mammalia; Carnivora; Felidae.